RNAcentral lists this ribosomal RNA (459 nucleotides) under uncultured bacterium. RNAcentral describes it as "partial 16S ribosomal RNA". It matches the Rfam family "Bacterial small subunit ribosomal RNA", at positions 338 to 795 of the family's 1533-position model. The record is from RNAcentral.
CCUACGGGUGGCAGCAGUGAGGAAUAUUGGUCAAUGGGCGCGAGCCUGAACCAGCCAAGUCGCGUGAGGGAAGACGGUCCUAUGGAUUGUAAACCUCUUUUGUCGGGGAGCAAAAGACGCCACGCGUGGCGUUCUGAGAGUACCCGAAGAAAAAGCAUCGGCUAACUCCGUGCCAGCAGCCGCGGUACUACGGAGGAUGCGAGCGUUAUCCGGAUUUAUUGGGUUUAAAGGGUGCGCAGGCGGAAGAUCAAGUCAGCGGUAAAAUUGAGAGGCUCAACCUCUUCGAGCCGUUGAAACUGGUUUUCUUGAGUGAGUGAGAAGUAUGCGGAAUGCGUGGUGUAGCGGUGAAAUGCAUAGAGAUCACGCAGAACUCCGAUUGCGAAGGCAGCAUACCGGCGCUCAACUGACGCUCAUGCACGAAAGUGUGGGUAUCGAACAGGAUUAGAUACCCUGGUAGUC